RNAcentral lists this ribosomal RNA (497 nucleotides) under uncultured bacterium. RNAcentral describes it as "partial 16S ribosomal RNA". It matches the Rfam family "Bacterial small subunit ribosomal RNA", at positions 28 to 507 of the family's 1533-position model. The record is from RNAcentral.
GAUGAACGCUGGCGGCGUGCCUAAUACAUGCAAGUCGAGCGAACAGACGAGGAUUUUGGUCGUCCGAGGUUAGCGGCGGACGGGUGAGUAACACGUGGAUAACCUACCUAUAAGACUGGUAUAACUUUGGGAAACCUGAGCUAAUACGGGAUAAUAUAUCGCACUGAAUGGUUCAAUCGUGAAAGUCGCUUUUGCUGUCACUUAUAGAUGGCUCCGCGCCGCAUUAGUUAGUUGGUGAGGUAACGGCUUACCCAGGCAGCGAAGCUUACCCGACCUGAAGGGGUGAUCGACCACCCGGGAGCAGAGGCACACUCCAGACUCCUACAGGGAGCCACGGUAGGGAAUCCUCCGGGAUGGGGGAGAGGGUGAUGGAGCGACACCGCGUAAAGGAUGAAGGUGUUCGGAUCGGAAAACUCUGAUGUUAUGAGGAAACAAAUAUGUUUGUAACUGUGAACAUCAUGACGGUACCUGGAGAGGAAGCCACGGCUAACUACGUG